UACAGGGGGGGCAAGCGUUGUUCGGAAUUACUGGGCGUAAAGCGCGCGUAGGUGGUUCGUUAAGUUGGAUGUGAAAUCCCCGGGCUCAACCUGGGAACUGCAUUCAAAACUGUCGAGCUAGAGUAUGGUAGAGGGUGGUGGAAUUUCCUGUGUAGCGGUGAAAUGCGUAGAUAUAGGAAGGAACACCAGUGGCGAAGGCGACCACCUGGACUGAUACUGACACUGAGGUGCGAAAGCGUGGGGAGCAAACAGG
Molecule: ribosomal RNA, 253 nt
Filed under: uncultured bacterium
Lineage: Bacteria
Description: partial 16S ribosomal RNA
Rfam family: Bacterial small subunit ribosomal RNA
Source: RNAcentral